This 75-nucleotide microRNA precursor is filed under the name Podarcis lilfordi (Lilford's wall lizard). Lineage: Eukaryota; Metazoa; Chordata; Lepidosauria; Squamata; Lacertidae. The record is from RNAcentral.
AAACAACACACACACACACACACACACGUGUAUAUAUAUAUGUAUGUAUGUAUGUGUGUGUGUAUAUAUAUGUAU